This is a long non-coding RNA of Physeter macrocephalus (sperm whale), 783 nucleotides long. RefSeq lists it as uncharacterized. The transcript is spliced from 3 exons. The record is from RefSeq and is a predicted model, not a curated record. Lineage: Eukaryota; Metazoa; Chordata; Mammalia; Artiodactyla; Physeteridae.
AGGAGUGAGAAUCCAGAAUGAUGAGAGGACAACCAGCAGGGGAAGGAAGUCCCUGGGAGGCGAGUUGGCCUGGCCCUGUGCACAGCUGACAAGAGCCUGGCCUCCUCAGGAACUUCCAAGGAUUUGGCUUCGGGACAGUGCAGGGCUGCAUCCACAUUGAGACGAGCUCGGUUUCCUCAGGACCGGCUGGGAGGUGCCUCCAUGGGAGAAAAAGGUCAUCCAGAACACCCAAGACGGGACUUCCCUUGUGGUGCAGUGGUUAAGAAUCCACCUGCCAAUGCACGGGACACGGGUUCGAUCCCUGGUCCGGGAAGAUACCACAUGCCGCGGGGCAACUAAGCCCGUGAGGCACAACUACUGAGCCCGCAUGCUGCGACUACUGAAGCCCGUGCUCUGCAACAAGAGAAGCCACCGCAAUGAGAAGCCCGUGCAUGGCAACGAAGAGUAGGCAACGAAGAGUAGCCCCCGCUUUCCACAACUAGAGAAAGCCUGCGUGCAGCAACGAAGACCCAACACAACCCUAAAUAAAUAAAUAAAUUAAUUAAUUAAUUUAAAAAAAAUUUAAAAAUAACUAGACUGUCUUUUCUAAUCUCCAUGUUUUCAGUGUACAAUUCUUGUACACCUUUUUCCUCACCUCUAUUGGAGGCUGGUUCAGAACACACACAACCUCCUGGAGAAACUUGCCCCGACCCUGCCAUGUACUGCCACGUAGUUGGCCUGGUACUGAGUCACCAAAAACUUUUGUUCUUUACUUGAUUCUUAACUCCUUUAGAAUUCAUUACU